This is a long non-coding RNA of Crotalus tigris (Tiger rattlesnake), 698 nucleotides long. RefSeq lists it as uncharacterized. The record is from RefSeq and is a predicted model, not a curated record. Lineage: Eukaryota; Metazoa; Chordata; Lepidosauria; Squamata; Viperidae. The transcript has 3 exons.
AUUCACGAGGACAAAGUUCCACAAGAAUGUAUUUAGCCAAGAGGGCAACUGAGCCUCUAUGACUUGGAGCCUUUUUGUUCAUCUUUCUUCAACCAUUUUAAAACACCAAGUAUCCUUCAUACAACGGCUUCCCUACAGAGACAUCUUCCUGUCUGACUCUCCUCCUCAAUAAACUGCAACCUUCUUUCUGAAGCAGUCGCCAUGUUUAUUCCCAGCUUGGACUGAACCACGAUGAAGACUUUUCUUUCAACACCAGCAUGUGGAUGGAUUAUUUGAAGAACCGCCUCUUCCCAAUCAUAUCUAUCUGUCCCACCUAGCCUGGCAGGAAGGACAUGUUGUGGUUCCCAUCCAUGAAAAAAUGCAUCUGACCAGAUGCAGGUAAAGAACCUUUUCUGCCAUGGCACCCACCUUUGGGAACAUCAUACCAACUGAAGUCAGAUUGGCCCUGACUUGCUGACCUUCCAGAACAGUGUGAAAACAUUUAGCCUGGGGAUCUAGUUGUGGUGGUAUGGAGUUCACAAAAUGGCUGUUUUGUUGAUUGUGUUCUUCCACAAAUUAUGUUUUUAUUGUUUAAUAGUUUUUAAAAAUUGUUUUAAUGUUUUUAAAUGAUUCUUGUGGUUAUUUUUGAUUAUUUUAUACUAUGUUUUUAACUUUGUAUGCCACUAAGAAACACAUAUAUGAGAUGGGCAAUUAUAUAA